Protopterus annectens (West African lungfish) is the source of this 1115-nucleotide long non-coding RNA. RefSeq lists it as uncharacterized. The transcript is spliced from 3 exons. The record is from RefSeq and is a predicted model, not a curated record. NCBI's taxonomy places the organism in Eukaryota, Metazoa, Chordata, Ceratodontiformes, Protopteridae.
AGCCGAAAGACACAAACAAACAUGUACAUUCUGAUUUUAUUUAUUUAUGGGCAUUGUAGGAUGAGGUUAGGCUCCCUGAUGUUACAAACUAUGUAACAUACAAAACUGAAGAAUGAAAAUUUGUUCUUUGAUCAGGGCAUAAAGCUGAAAAUGUGAGAUUUCACCAUUUAAAAUGAGCUAGAGAAACAGAAGGCAGAUGAGAGAACAGAAGGACAUGAAUACAUAUAUGACACUUUUUCUGAAUUCCUUACCAAAAUACUGGUACUUGCUAAUGGAGAUAGUUCCAUGGAGGAGUCAUGUAUAAACAAAAUAGUAUCCAUAUAUACUUACAUAUGUGCAUGCAUACAUAUAUAAAACUAAAUAAAAUCAGUUAGAAAAGAAAUGUAAGUGAUACAGUUAAGGAGAAUGUUUGCCAUAUUGGGAGAAGAAUACCACUAGCAAACCAGCAGAUAGGCAACAUAAAUAAUAAUAUAUGGUUUGUAUGUAAGUACUGUGAUAGCUACCCUUGUGGACAAUUUUAAGCCUGGCUAAUCCUCCUUAGUAAGAAUUAAACACUGUACAUUUUGUUUGUGAGGCAAACACUUUAGCCAUUAUGCCAGCUCGCAUUGAAAUAUAGGUUCACGGGUAAGUACUAGCCUAGGUGCACUCAUGGGCCAUUAUAAGCUUAGCCAGUAUCAGGUAGAUACUUUAAACAUUAUGCCAUCCUCCAAUAAAAAAUAAAAUUAUAAUAAUAAUACCUUGUAGUUUGAUGUUUAAUGCAAUUAUGUUUUAAUAUAGGGAGUCUCUCCUUUGAUAUGAGAUGGGAGAGCUGGACCUAUGUAGAAAAUGCACAUAUCUAGGUUCAUAGACAAGUAGCAGACUAGCUUGUGUGCCAUUUUAAGUUUAGCCAGUUUCCCUUUUGGUACUUUGAAUUAAGUUAUCUCAUUUGGUGUUAGAUUGGCCUUCCCAUGGUUGAUAAUUAUAUAUAGUCCCUAAUGAAACUAACUGGGAUCAUACCAUAAAUAAUUUGAGGGGGCCCAUGCAUGUAAUAAAGCAUUUUAGAACUGCCUCUACCAAUUAGUAGUAGAUGGGGCAGUCCUGGAGUAAAUUUUCAGUUUCCCAAAAAACAGAUCCAA